UGGGGUCACUGAGGCCCUAUGGGUCUCUAUGGGGUCAGUGGGUGCCCUGUGGGGCCCUGUGGGGUCACUGAGGCCCUAUGGUUCUCUAUGGGGCCCUAUGGGUCUCUAUGGGGUCAGUGGGCGCCCUGUGGGGCCCUGUGGGGUCUCUGAGGCCCUAUGGGGCUCUAUGGGGUCACUGAGUUCCCUAUGGGUCUCUAUGGGGUCACUGAGUCCCCUAUGGGUCUCUAUGGGGUCACUGAGGCCCUAUGGGGUCACUGAGUUCCCUAUGGGUCUCUAUGGGGUCACUGAGGCCCUAUGGGUC
Long non-coding RNA from Tympanuchus pallidicinctus (lesser prairie-chicken), 301 nucleotides. RefSeq lists it as uncharacterized. The record is from RefSeq and is a predicted model, not a curated record. The transcript has 3 exons. Lineage: Eukaryota; Metazoa; Chordata; Aves; Galliformes; Phasianidae.